Molecule: unclassified non-coding RNA, 363 nt
Filed under: Hevea brasiliensis (rubber tree)
Lineage: Eukaryota; Viridiplantae; Streptophyta; Magnoliopsida; Malpighiales; Euphorbiaceae
Source: RNAcentral
GCUUCCUGCCUGACACCUUCAUGUGGUGAACGUGUAAGUUGAACAAGUGCUUCAAGAGCACCAGCCUCUUGUCCAACAGCAGCAUUGUUAGUAUUGCUGUCUCCAUGAGCGGCCAAGUUAGCUAAGGCACGAGCAGCCUGCUCUUGCACUCCCUCAAACUUGCAAUUACGAGCAAGCAUCACUAAAGCAUGCACGCCACCUGCCAGAGCAACCUCCAUGCUACACUUGUCAUCAGCUGCCAAAUUAGCCAAAGCACCAGCUGCACGCUCCAGAACUCCAUCACUGCCGGAGGACCAUUUGAANAACUCCAUCACCGCCAGAGGACCAUUUGAAUAUAAGAUCAACUAAAGCUUUUACUCCACC